AUUGAACGCUGGCGGCAGGCCUAACACAUGCAAGUCGAACGAGUGGCGGAGGGGUGAGUAAUGUCUGAGAAACUGCCUGAUGGAGGGGGAUAACUGCUGGAAACGGUAGAUAAUACCGCAUACCAUCGGAUGUGCCCAGAUUGGAUUAGCUAGGAGGUGGGGUAAAGGCUCACCUAGGCGACGCUCCCUAGCUGGUCUGAGAGGAUGACCCGCCACACUGGAACUGAGACACGGUCCAGACUCCUACGGGAGGCAGCAGUGGGGAAUUUUGGACAAUGGGCGAAAGCCUGAUGCAGCCAUGCCGCGUGUGUGAAGAAGGCCUUCGGGUUGUAAAGUACUUUCGGCAGGGAAGCGGUACCCGCAGAAGAAGCACCGGCUAACUCCGUGCCAGCAGCCGCGGUAAUAC
Molecule: ribosomal RNA, 406 nt
Filed under: uncultured bacterium
Lineage: Bacteria
Description: partial 16S ribosomal RNA
Rfam family: Bacterial small subunit ribosomal RNA
Source: RNAcentral